GAGUUUGAUCCUGGCUCAGGACGAACGCUGGCGGCGCGCCUAACACAUGCAAGUCGAACGAGAGAGAGGGAGCUUGCUUCCUCAAUCGAGUGGCGAACGGGUGAGUAACGCGUGAGGAACCUGCCUCAAAGAGGGGGACAACAGUUGGAAACGACUGCUAAUACCGCAUAAGCCCACAGCUCGGCAUCGAGCAGAGGGAAAAGGAGCAAUCCGCUUUGAGAUGGCCUCGCGUCCGAUUAGCUAGUUGGUGAGGUAACGGCCCACCAAGGCAACGAUCGGUAGCCGGACUGAGAGGUUGAACGGCCACAUUGGGACUGAGACACGGCCCAGACUCCUACGGGAGGCAGCAGUGGGGAAUAUUGCACAAUGGGGGAAACCCUGAUGCAGCGACGCCGCGUGGAGGAAGAAGGUCUUCGGAUUGUAAACUCCUGUUGUUGAGGAAGAUAAUGACGGUACUCAACAAGGAAGUGACGGCUAACUACGUGCCAGCAGCCGCGGUAAAACGUAGGUCACAAGCGUUGUCCGGAAUUACUGGGUGUAAAGGGAGCGCAGGCGGGAAGACAAGUUGGAAGUGAAAUCUAUGGGCUCAACCCAUAAACUGCUUUCAAAACUGUUUUCUUGAGUAGUGCAGAGGUAGGCGGAAUUCCCGGUGUAGCGGUGGAAUGCGUAGAUAUCGGGAGGAACACCAGUGGCGAAAGCGGCCUACUGGGCACCAACUGACGCUGAGGCUCGAAAGUGUGGGUAGCAAACAGGAUUAGAUACCCUGGUAGUCCACACCGUAAACGAUGAUUACUAGGUGUUGGAGGAUUGACCCCUUCAGUGCCGCAGUUAACACAAUAAGUAAUCCACCUGGGGAGUACGACCGCAAGGUUGAAACUCAAAGGAAUUGACGGGGGCCCGCACAAGCAGUGGAGUAUGUGGUUUAAUUCGACGCAACGCGAAGAACCUUACCAAGUCUUGACAUCCCUUGACGAUGCUGGAAACAGUAUUUCUCUUCGGAGCAAGGAGACAGGUGGUGCAUGGUUGUCGUCAGCUCGUGUCGUGAGAUGUUGGGUUAAGUCCCGCAACGAGCGCAACCCUUACUGUCAGUUACUACGCAAGAGGACUCUGGCAGGACUGCCGUUGACAAAACGGAGGAAGGUGGGGAUGACGUCAAAUCAUCAUGCCCUUUAUAACUUGGGCUACACACGUACUACAAUGGCGUUAAACAAAGAGAAGCAAGACCGCGAGGUGGAGCAAAACUCAGAAACAACGUCCCAGUUCGGACUGCAGGCUGCAACUCGCCUGCACGAAGUCGGAAUUGCUAGUAAUCGUGGAUCAGCAUGCCACGGUGAAUACGUUCCCGGGCCUUG
This 1352-nucleotide ribosomal RNA is filed under the name uncultured bacterium. Its description in RNAcentral is "16S ribosomal RNA". It matches the Rfam family "Bacterial small subunit ribosomal RNA", at positions 9 to 1383 of the family's 1533-position model. The record is from RNAcentral.